UGGGGAAUUUUGGACAAUGGGCGAAAGCCUGAUCCAGCAAUGCCGCGUGUGUGAAGAAGGCCUUCGGGUUGUAAAGCACUUUUGUCCGGAAAGAAAUCCUUGGCUCUAAUACAGUCGGGGGAUGACGGUACCGGAAGAAUAAGCACCGGCUAACUACGUGCCAGCAGCCGCGGUAAUACGUAGGGUGCAAGCGUUAAUCGGAAUUACUGGGCGUAAAGCGUGCGCAGGCGGUUUGCUAAGACCGAUGUGAAAUCCCCGGGCUCAACCUGGGAACUGCAUUGGUGACUGGCAGGCUAGAGUAUGGCAGAGGGGGGUAGAAUUCUACGUGUAGCAGUGAAAUGCGUAGAGAUGUGGAGGAAUACCGAUGGCGAAGGCAGCCCCCUGGGCCAAUACUGACGCUCAUGCACGAAAGCGUGGGGAGCAAACAGGAUUAGAUACCCUGGUAGUCCACGCCCUAAACGAUGUCAACUAGUUGUUGGGGAUUCAUUUCCUUAGUAACGUAGCUAACGCGUGAAGUUGACCGCCUGGGGAGUACGGUCGCAAGAUUAAAACUCAAAUGAAUUGACGGGGUCAUAGCUGUUUCCU
Molecule: ribosomal RNA, 585 nt
Filed under: uncultured bacterium
Lineage: Bacteria
Description: partial 16S ribosomal RNA
Rfam family: Bacterial small subunit ribosomal RNA
Source: RNAcentral